This 1925-nucleotide long non-coding RNA is filed under the name Anas platyrhynchos platyrhynchos (common mallard). RNAcentral describes it as "lncRNA (ENSAPLG00000017688.1)". The record is from RNAcentral. Lineage: Eukaryota; Metazoa; Chordata; Aves; Anseriformes; Anatidae.
GUAGUAUCCAAGCAAACACAAAAGCUAACGGUAUAAGCCCCACCUGGCCAGAUUCAAUAUUCAAUGCAUGUGUGAAUAAUGGCAUUAUUGUGUCAGGGAGGGUUUACAAUGGGAAUUCAGAGCAGCUACAGGUGGUUUGGAAUCAAACAAAGAAAAGUCCGUUUACUCAGUGAGCUUACUAAAACGUAGUGGUGAUUCAGUAUCAGCUGAUGAUCAGUUCCCUUAGAUAAGCAGCCAUCUGUCACACACCAUGUGCCUCCCACACAUAAGAGUCCCCUCGCGGGCAGCCUGUUUGCCUUGGGGGUCUCCCUGGGCGCCUGCACCGCUCUGCUCGGGGCACACACGGCUGGUGGCUGGGCUGCAGCCCUGGCUCCACUCCAAGGCUCUGCAGAGAAGACCCCACAGCACAGCGUGAGGAGCAGGAGAAGGGGGACUCGCUGACCCACUUGUGCCUGUUGCAGAAAAGAAGUGAUGCAGCGCAGCUGAUGCAGGACUCCCUGACAGGACCACAGGAGGAAGGAACAGCACAGCCUCCAAACACAAGCGGGUAGCCCCAGCACUUGUGACCCACCAAACCUUCCCACGGCAAGCUGCUUUUGGAAGAGCUGGGCACAGAGCUGCCACCCGAGUGCAGCAGGACUGCUUAGGGGAACAUGAGCCAAGGCUCCAAAGGCAGUCAGUGUGUUGAACCUGCUACAGGUGGGUUGGUACAUCAUGGCUGAAUUCUGCUUUUCUGCUGUGAGAUGACAGCUCUAACAAAACAUCUUCCCCCUAGGCUGCCUGUGGCUAGAAGCUGCUCCAGGCAGACACAAGAUCUGCCAAAGACCUUUACUAUGGUUCUGGCCUUCUAUUUUGUGAUCCCAUCAGUUCUUUGGGGAUCCUUCAGGAGCAGCAAUCCCAAUAAUAAUGAGUGCAAAUCCAAAAGAGCCUUUCAUCAAGGCACAAAUCCUGAAACAACUCAUCUCUAUUCAGAAGGACUGGCUGCAUACUGGAGGUCUCAUGAGCUACCAAACAUCGCUCACCUUAACUUUCAGAAUACUUCUGGAAGUUAGUUAUUAGUCCCACAGUGCAGUGAAGAUAAUAUGGAGGCAGCGACCUUCAAAAGAAAGCAGGCACAGAUCCAGUUUUCCUGACUCCCAGUGCUUCCCUUAAACUCCAGAACCGCCUUUCCUCAGCUUCAAACUCUUUUUUUUUUUUCAUUUUUUUUUUUUUCUUAGUCAUUCUGAGGAGAGGGGAAACAGCCUGCAUACAAAGAUCAAAUUCAGAUAUUUUGUGAAGGACAGUACAGCUUUUCACCUUUAGGACUUUACUGCAGCGCUAUCUCAAGCUCAGAUCUAGAUGUUGUCCUUAACUUCAAGGUUUCCACACUUGAGCUCCCUCACCAAGUGUGGCAGCACCUUCAGCCCUGCCUGGCAGGUUCAGAGACGCCAAGUUGUUGCUUGUGUUUGCAUGUAUCCUAUGUAUAUGGAAGAUAAAGGCUUAAACACCUUCUUGCCCCAUGCUGUCUUACAAUUCCUCUUGCAUGUGCAAAAAAAAAAACAAACAGGCAUAUUCCUCCACCAUAUGUUGCAUAAAAAUAUAACAGAAUGGCUUAGUAUACUGUAGCAAGAAUAACCAGGUGCCAAACCUAUUGACCCAUAUAGGAGAAGUAAGUCUGGGGGACCCACAAGCUUUGGAAGGCUGUUAUAGAGAAUAUGGUCCACAGAGAGUCCAUGCACAGGCACAGAAAUGCACAAUCAGAGGACUGGUGAGGUUGGAAGGCAGCUCUGGAGAUUGUCUAAUAUAACACCCUGCUCAGAGCAGGGCCACCUAGAGUAGGUUGCCCAGGGCUGUGGCUGUUUGGGAUUUUGAAUAUCUCCAAGGAUGGAGACUCCACAGCAUCUCUAGGCAAUCUGUGCCAGUGCUUGAUCACCCUUACAACAAUA